RNAcentral lists this ribosomal RNA (291 nucleotides) under uncultured bacterium. RNAcentral's name for it is "partial 16S ribosomal RNA". It matches the Rfam family "Bacterial small subunit ribosomal RNA", at positions 44 to 334 of the family's 1533-position model. The record is from RNAcentral.
GUGCCUAACACAUGCAAGUCGAGCGGUAACAGGUGUAGCAAUACAUGCUGACGAGCGGCAAACGGGUGAGUAAUGCUUCGGCAAUCUGCCCAAUGGUGGGGAAUAACCAGCCGAAAGGUUGGCUAAUACCGCAUGAGCCCUACGGGGGAAAGCAGGGGAUCGUAAGACCUUGCGCCGAUGGAUGAGCCGAAGUCGGAUUAGCUUGUUGGUAGGGUAACGGCCUACCAAAGCGACAAUCCGUAGCUGGUCUGAGAGGACGCACAGCCACACUGGGACUGAGACACGGCCCAG